This 253-nucleotide ribosomal RNA is filed under the name uncultured bacterium. Its description in RNAcentral is "partial 16S ribosomal RNA". It matches the Rfam family "Bacterial small subunit ribosomal RNA", at positions 524 to 776 of the family's 1533-position model. The record is from RNAcentral.
UACAGAGGGUGCAAGCGUUGUUCGGAAUUACUGGGCGUAAAGCGCACGUAGGCGGCUUUGUAAGUUAGAGGUGAAAGCCCAGGGCUCAACCCUGGAAUUGCCUUUAAGACUGCAUCGCUUGAACAUCGGAGAGGUAAGUGGAAUUCCGAGUGUAGAGGUGAAAUUCGUAGAUAUUCGGAAGAACACCAGUGGCGAAGGCGACUUACUGGACGAUUGUUGACGCUGUGGUGCGAAAGCGUGGGGAGCAAACAGG